Molecule: long non-coding RNA, 2205 nt
Organism: Triticum aestivum (bread wheat)
Lineage: Eukaryota; Viridiplantae; Streptophyta; Magnoliopsida; Poales; Poaceae
Exons: 5
Source: RefSeq, a predicted model, not a curated record
GGUCGGCUCGGCUCGGAUAAAAACAGAGAGAUACGAACACCGCCGCUCGCCGACGGCUAGUUGGUGGCCGCCGGCGGCGAUCCGGUGCCGCUGGCGCUGGUAGAGGGGACGCCGCUGCACGUGCGUGAAUGUCCGGAGCCAGUCUCAGCUCGAGAUUUGCGGCGAUUUUGUUCAGAAUGCAUCCUUCGCCCCUGAAAAAUUCUCAGAUUUUGUUCAGUGAUGUAGCUAUGGGGAUGUGGUGGUCUUGUGUCUGAUUUCUUUGCCCACACUUUGGGGGUAGUACUGUACAGAGGGCAAUUGGGAAUUGAACAAUCAAAUGUUCUGCAACUCAUCCAGAAACUUAUGUUACUUAUGAUACUGACGACAAUAGGCUAUAUGCGAUUCUCAUGUAGCCGGUUUUAACUGAAGUUUAACAUAUUGAUAUACAUCAUUUUUAUAUUGUUGAAGAGAGGUCAUAAAAAAUGUCAAUUAGAAAUUUACAAUCCUUACAAAAUCAAAGGGGAAACAAAACUACUCUUUGCACAUCAGCUACAAGAGCCGCUUCCUCGUCUGUUCUAGCAUAAUUUGCAAGCUGGUGGGCAGCUCCAUUGCUCUCUCUAAUGAUCUUAGACAUGAAGCCCGCACUCCGCAAAAAUCUCCAUCACUCCUGUCAGUCCGUUAUCUGCAUUCUUUGAUAACACCUCCUACUCCGCCGUGCAGUCCGUUUCAUACACAGCUGGCCACCCUGCAAACUUCAGAUAACUGACGGAGGCCAACCAACCAUCACAUCGACAGCUUGUAAGCCUCCUCUGCCUCGGACCAUGGGCUUAUCUUCAGGUAGAAAGCAAGGCCACACCACUAUGGUCCCUUAAUAAAGCACCAGCACUUCCUUGCCACACAGCUUCAACAAAGGAACCACCGGCGUUCAUAUUGAUUUAUACAUAUUACUAAGGAAAUAAUUAGAGUGGUCGUUCUUGCCCACAUGUAGUCAAUUGUGGGGUCGAUGUGGUCAAGACUAAACUUCUCCCAUAACCAUACCUGAUCAUGAGUCCAUCGCUAAUUAAUGUACUCUUGUAAUGCAACUACAUAAAUUAUAUAAAAUAAAUGCAUUAUUAUGUUUGUUUCUUAGCCUCUAUAUGAGGUUGUUGAAGGUUAUCGUAGUUCCAUAUUUGGGUUUAAAGUUAACAUACAUAGACUGUACUUCCUUCAUCGGAGAGGGAGAAAAUGUUUUCCCCUCCUGUGGAAAUGUGUGAGCAUCUCCACAUCUGUGACGGAGUUACACAUGGCUUUCCCUUGAGGGUAAAUGUGUCAUCUUCAAGAUCGUACCUAUUUGCGACCCAGUUCAAUGAUUUGCAGCGAUUGUGUACUGGCUUCGUCUUCAGGAUGUCUCGCAGUCCCACCAUUCUGAUGAGGUCCACCUACGGUGCGGUAUUCAUGGAGCCUUUGGCUCAUCAGAAUGCAGAGAGAUAAUCCAAAGGAUAUAUCCACAGAGUUGGGAAAGGGGACCAAGGAAGAGCUAUAUUUCGACAUUCCCGCAUAUCGUCAGCAAUUUGAGGACUAUAGAUUUGUGAUAUAUGACUAUGAAAAGCCAACCUUUGGCCCAUCAGAAUGAAGAGACAAAUCAAAAGAGACAUAGGGUGAUUUAGGAGGGAAUAAUGAAGAGCCAUAUAUCUUCUACAAGUCCAUCUAUGGGGAGAUGUUCAUGGAGCCUUCAGCUCAUCAGAAUGUAGAGAAAAUCCAAAGGAGACAUCCAGAGACUUGGGAAAGGGGACCAAGAAAGAGAUAUGUUUCCUUGACAUCCCUACAUAUAUAUAUCAUCAGAUAUCCAUGGAGCAGAAUAUCGUGGGAAGUUUUCAAGCUCUCUCUCAGCAAUUUCAGGUUGAUACUUGACUUUGUCCAUGAUUGCCAACAACUCCGGUUAUUAUUAGUGCUCGAUUUCUUUGCCGGGACUUCUAACAUUGGUCAGAGAUAUAGAGGCAUGGUGUGGUACUAAUAAUUGUACAAUAAUUAGCUAUGCACAAGUAUGUCCUGAGAAUUUUACCAACCAUAAGGAUUUCCUCGGUGGGUUGGUGAUACGCGUAAAAAAGCAUUCGCAGGACGAGUUCAACAGUUGAAGUGGCAAACCAAACUAAGCAAUUGUCUAUGGCCGAAAGUACCCUUCUGAGCUUGAGCUCAAAUGAGUUCAUGUGAACGGUAAAAUCAAAAUAAAAAAUCAACAUUCUUGAA